RNAcentral lists this transfer RNA (72 nucleotides) under Limnoglobus roseus. RNAcentral describes it as "tRNA-Cys". It matches the Rfam family "tRNA". From Rfam's summary of the family: Transfer RNA (tRNA) molecules are approximately 80 nucleotides in length. Their secondary structure includes four short double-helical elements and three loops (D, anti-codon, and T loops). Lineage: Bacteria; Pseudomonadati; Planctomycetota; Planctomycetia; Gemmatales; Gemmataceae. The record is from RNAcentral.
GACGCGGGAGCCAGACGGUCGGGCGAUCGGCUGCAACCCGAUAGAAGUGGGUUCGACUCCCACCCGCGUCUC